AACGAACGCUGGCGGCAUGCCUAACACAUGCAAGUCGAACGAACUCUUCGGAGUUAGUGGCCCACGGGUGCGUAACGCGUGGGAAUCUGCCCUUGGGUACGGAAUAACUCAGAGAAAUUUGUGCUAAUACCGUAUAAUGUCUUCGGACCAAAGAUUUAUCGCCCAAGGAUGAGCCCGCGUAAGAUUAGCUAGUUGGUGGG
This 200-nucleotide ribosomal RNA is filed under the name uncultured bacterium. RNAcentral describes it as "partial 16S ribosomal RNA". It matches the Rfam family "Bacterial small subunit ribosomal RNA", at positions 29 to 256 of the family's 1533-position model. The record is from RNAcentral.